Molecule: ribosomal RNA, 497 nt
Filed under: uncultured bacterium
Lineage: Bacteria
Description: partial 16S ribosomal RNA
Rfam family: Bacterial small subunit ribosomal RNA
Source: RNAcentral
GAUGAACGCUGGCGGCGUGCCUAAUACAUGCAAGUCGAGCGAACAGACGCGGAGCUUGCUCCGCUGACGUUAGCGGCGGACGGGUGAGUAACACGUGGAUAACCUACCUAUAAGACUGGGAUAACUUCGGGAAACCGGCGAUAAUACCGGAGAAUAUCUUGAACCGCAUGGGUCAAUAGUGAAAGACGGUUUUGCUGUCACUAAUAGAUGGAUCUGGGCCGCAUUAGCUAGUUGGUACGUUAACGGCUUACGAAGGCAACGAUGCGUAGCCGAGCUGAGGGGGGGAUCGCCCACACUGGAGGUGAAACACGGUCCAGACUCCUACGGGAGGCAGCAGUAGGGAAUCUUCCGCAGUGGGCGAGAGCCUGACGGAGCAACGCCACGUGAGUGAUAGAGGUGUUCGGUGCGUGAAACUCUGUUAUUAGGGAAGAACAAAUGUGUAAGUAACUAUGCACGUCUUGACGGUACCUAAUCAGAAAGCCCCGGCUAACUACGUG